UUGGAGGGCAAGUCUGGUGCCAGCAGCCGCGGUAAUUCCAGCUCCAAUAGCGUAUAUUAAAGUUGUUGCAGUUAAAAAGCUCGUAGUUGAAUUUCGGGAUCAAAUUGUCGGUCGUGCCUCGGUACGAACUGGUAUUAUUGGUUCCUACCUUCUGAAGAACCGCGAUGUCAUUAAUUUGGUGUCGUGGGGAAUCAGGACUGUUACUUUGAAAAAAUUAGAGUGUUUAAAGCAGGCUUACGCUUGAAUACAUUAGCAUGGAAUAAUGAAAUAGGACGUUUGAUUCUAUUUUGUUGGUUUCUAGGAUUGACGUAAUGAUUAAUAGGGAUAGUUGGG
Molecule: ribosomal RNA, 333 nt
Filed under: Glomus sp.
Lineage: Eukaryota; Fungi; Glomeromycota; Glomeromycetes; Glomerales; Glomeraceae
Description: SSU rRNA
Rfam family: Eukaryotic small subunit ribosomal RNA
Source: RNAcentral